CAAGACUGUCAAUGCCAACAAAGACAAC
This 28-nucleotide non-coding RNA is filed under the name Cricetulus griseus (Chinese hamster). Lineage: Eukaryota; Metazoa; Chordata; Mammalia; Rodentia; Cricetidae. The record is from RNAcentral.